RNAcentral lists this ribosomal RNA (508 nucleotides) under uncultured Bacillota bacterium. Its description in RNAcentral is "bacterial SSU rRNA". It matches the Rfam family "Bacterial small subunit ribosomal RNA", at positions 397 to 896 of the family's 1533-position model. Lineage: Bacteria; Bacillati; Bacillota. The record is from RNAcentral.
CCGCGUGAGUGAUGAAGGUUUUCGGAUCGUAAAACUCUGUUGUUAGGGAAGAACAAGUGCGAGAGUAACUGCUCGCACCUUGACGGUACCUAACCAGAAAGCCACGGCUAACUACGUGCCAGCAGCCGCGGUAAUACGUAGGUGGCAAGCGUUGUCCGGAAUUAUUGGGCGUAAAGCGCGCGCAGGCGGUUUCUUAAGUCUGAUGUGAAAGCCCCCGGCUCAACCGGGGAGGGUCAUUGGAAACUGGGAAACUUGAGUGCAGAAGAGGAGAGUGGAAUUCCACGUGUGGCGGUGAAAUGCGUAGAGAUGUGGAGGAACACCAGUGGCGAAGGCGACUCUCUGGUCUGUAACUGACGCUGAGGCGCGAAAGCGUGGGGAGCGAACAGGAUUAGAUACCCUGGUAGUCCACACCGUAAACGAUGAGUGCUAAGUGUUAGAGGGUUUCCGCCCUUUAGUGCUGCAGCUAACGCAUUAAGCACUCCGCCUGGGGAGUACGGUCGCAAGACUG